UACAGAGGGUGCGAGCGUUAAUCGGAAUUACUGGGCGUAAAGCGCACGUAGGUGGCGACGUAAGUCGGGUGUGAAAGCCCCGGGCUCAACCUGGGAAUUGCAUUCGAGACUGCAUUGCUGGAGUACGGAAGAGGAAGGCGGAAUUCCCGGUGUAGCGGUGAAAUGCGCAGAUAUCAGGAGGAACACCAAUGGCGAAGGCAGCUCGCUGGAACGGUACUGACGCUGAGGCGCGAAAGCGUGGGGAGCGAACAGG
RNAcentral lists this ribosomal RNA (253 nucleotides) under uncultured bacterium. Its description in RNAcentral is "partial 16S ribosomal RNA". It matches the Rfam family "Bacterial small subunit ribosomal RNA", at positions 524 to 776 of the family's 1533-position model. The record is from RNAcentral.